AUAUUGGACAAUGGGCGAAAGCCUGAUCCAGCCAUGCCGCGUGAGUGAUGAAGGCCUUAGGGUUGUAAAGCUCUUUCGUCAGGGAAGAUAAUGACGGUACCUGAAGAAGAAGCCCCGGCUAACUUCGUGCCAGCAGCCGCGGUAAUACGAAGGGGGCUAGCGUUGCUCGGAAUCACUGGGCGUAAAGCGCACGUAGGCGGCUUUCUAAGUCAGGGGUGAAAUCCUGGAGCUCAACUCCAGAACUGCCUUUGAUACUGGAAAGCUUGAGUUCGAGAGAGGUGAGUGGAACUGCGAGUGUAGAGGUGAAAUUCGUAGAUAUUCGCAAGAACACCAGUGGCGAAGGCGGCUCACUGGCUCGAUACUGACGCUGAGGUGCGAAAGCGUGGGGAGCAAACAGG
Molecule: ribosomal RNA, 398 nt
Filed under: uncultured bacterium
Lineage: Bacteria
Description: bacterial SSU rRNA
Rfam family: Bacterial small subunit ribosomal RNA
Source: RNAcentral